UGGUGGGUAGUUUGACUGGGGCGGUCUCCUCCUAAAGAGUAACGGAGGAGCACGAAGGUUGGCUAAUCCUGGUCGGACAUCAGGAGGUUAGUGCAAUGGCAUAAGCCAGCUUGACUGCGAGCGUGACGGCGCGAGCAGGUGCGAAAGCAGGUCAUAGUGAUCCGGUGGUUCUGAAUGGAAGGGCCAUCGCUCAACGGAUAAAAGGUACUCCGGGGAUAACAGGCUGAUACCGCCCAAGAGUUCAUAUCGACGGCGGUGUUUGGCACCUCGAUGUCGGCUCAUCACAUCCUGGGGCUGAAGUAGGUCCCAAGGGUAUGGCUGUUCGCCAUUUAAAGUGGUACGCGAGCUGGGUUUAGAACGUCGUGAGACAGUUCGGUCCCUAUCUGCCGUGGGCGCUGGAGAACUGAGGGGGGCUGCUCCUAGUACGAGAGGACCGGAGUGGACGCAUCACUGGUGUUCGGGUUGUCAUGCCAAUGGCACUGCCCGGUAGCUAAAUGCGGAAGAGAUAAGUGCUGAAAGCAUCUAAGCACGAAACUUGCCCCGAGAUGAGUUCUCCCUGAGACUUAGAGUCUCCUGAAGGAACGUUGAAGACGACGACGUUGAUAGGCCGGGUGUGUAAGCGCAGCG
This 627-nucleotide ribosomal RNA is filed under the name Salmonella enterica. RNAcentral describes it as "partial 23S ribosomal RNA". It matches the Rfam family "Bacterial large subunit ribosomal RNA", at positions 2259 to 2880 of the family's 2925-position model. The record is from RNAcentral. RNAcentral also lists the same sequence under 3 other names. Lineage: Bacteria; Pseudomonadati; Pseudomonadota; Gammaproteobacteria; Enterobacterales; Enterobacteriaceae.